This 1125-nucleotide long non-coding RNA is filed under the name Equus caballus (horse). RNAcentral's name for it is "lncRNA (ENSECAG00000047016.1)". The record is from RNAcentral. Lineage: Eukaryota; Metazoa; Chordata; Mammalia; Perissodactyla; Equidae.
AUUUUCACAAAGUACCAAAGCCUUGUAUAACCACUUCCUUGAAGAUGUCUUCCAUUUUCUGAAACCACAUCAAUCCACCUAUUUGUAGAAGAGUUAGAAUAUCAAGACAUCUAAGGAAAAAUCAUACCUUGAAAAAUCACAUAUGAGGUCCCCAGUCACAUCAGGUCACUCCUCCGUUUUUGGACUUGGAUGAAAUAACACUCUAGAGUACAAGGGAUCUCUCUUCCUGAGUGGCACUGAGGGAGUCAGAUGAUGUAACAGUAUAAAGAUUUGAAUGGAAUAUCUCAUCUCAGGACAUGGGAUCUGGCACACCAUGUUCUGCAUCCAGAGUGGUUGGCAUGCAAAGGAACUGGAUGACACACAACUUGGAAAUGAUGGACAGUUAACUCCCUAUGGUGAAAAUUUUGACGAUUGGGAAAUAGAAGACAGGAGGGAGACAAGCAGAUAAAUUUCUCCUUCUUUUUCACACCGCCUAACAUAUAUCAUUCCAUACAGCAUGCCCGGGAAUAUACUGGGUAAUGAGUAAAUACAUCUGCCUAGCAAUGUCAUGGCUCAUUGUGAAGCAGUAGUCAGACAUAUAAACAGCAUUUCAUUUAUUUUCCACAUCUUUUUCUUAUCCUAAUGCCUUUAUUCCUUACUCUCCCUGUCUUACGUUUGCAGAUAGGAAAUAAAGCACUGUCACUUAGUCCUCACCUUAGGUUCCAUAUUCUAUGGAAACUGGCAAGCAAAGCCACCUGGUGAAUGUAAGAAUUACUACAUGGGAUUGUUAAAAAUGCAAACUUUCUAAUGUUGGCUUCCUCUACCUUAAACAUGGAAACUUUUCUGUAUCAUUAUUAAUUCCAGAUGCUAUCCUUGUUUCAUAUUAAUCUACGUAUUUAAAAGAAAUAAUGUGGAAUAACUCAAUUUGCCCAGAUAGCAAGCUUUUGCUUUCUUCUUCCAUGCUAAGAAAACUGAAAUUGUGUUAGAGUCAGUGAUAUGCCUAGAGUCAGGCAAUGAAACAUGACUGGCCUAACUCAAUUAUGACAACAGUGUUCCCGAAUUUCCAAGCCUCCUUUCAAGCAGGGGUGCCACCUGUCCCAGCUCUGGAUGGGAUGGUUCUGGAAAAGCUUUGUUUUAAUAAUAAAG